GCUGUCGUGUGUGGCCAGAAAACGAUCUCUUUGCUUAGAGUUAUUUAUAUGAACUCUCAUUUACUUUACCCUCAUUGCAUAUGAUACCACAGUACACAUUACAAUGUGACACAAGUCAUUGAACAACAUAUCUUAGAAAUUCCAACUGUAAAA
This is a long non-coding RNA of Tachysurus fulvidraco (yellow catfish), 153 nucleotides long. RefSeq lists it as uncharacterized. Lineage: Eukaryota; Metazoa; Chordata; Actinopteri; Siluriformes; Bagridae. The record is from RefSeq and is a predicted model, not a curated record. The transcript is spliced from 3 exons.